UUUCACUGGAUCAUUGCUGGGUGGAGUGUGGAGGGGAAGGAGGGGGGGAGCCAGGCCGAGCAGGAGCCUCCCCCCCGCUCCCAUCCGCGCACCCCGAGCCUCGGCCUGGAGAGCGGGGCGGAGGGCAGCGGGCGGCCCCCGCGCCCGUGUCUGGGCGGGGCGGGGCGGGGCGGGGGGACGGCGACCCUCACACGGGCGAGGGAAGGGAAGGGAAGUGAAGGGUGGAACGGGGGAGGCGGCGCGGCCCCGGGGAGCCGGGCCCGUUGCUGGGGAGACGCGCCCGGCGCGCUCUCAGUGGCUGCCCGGGCCGCGUGCCCCCCUCCGCCCGCCCCAGCCCUCGGCCGCCCCGCCCCGCCCCGCCCCGCCCGCCCUUCGCGCGUUCCACUGCGGUGCGGGGCUGCGCGUGCGGGGAGAGCCGCCCGUCCGUCCGCCCCUCGGCUCCGCCAGGUGCGGAGCCCGCGGCCCAGGCGGCCGCAGGUGGCCCCGGGGAGCGGCGGGGAGGUGGCGCCGCCUCGCGCUGCGGAACGGGAAGGGAGGGACGGGGUGGGCAGGCGGGAGGAGAGGAGAGGAGAGGGCGGGGGGAGCGUGCCGGUGCUGCCGCCGCCGCCGGGAGGUGCGGCGGGGCCGGGCGGCGAUGCGGGGGGGGGUGCGCUGAGGCGGGGCGGCACCGCGGCUGUGGGUGCGUGGGGAGAUCUCCCGAGCGGGGAUGUAACCCCAGCCGGAACAUGGAGGAGCCCGCUGCGCCGCGUCGACAAAAGGGAAAAUCCGGGCCCUGCUGAGGCGAGGCACAAAGUGGGGCUGUUGGCGAAUCAGGCGGAUGGGACCGCUAAGGCGGAUCCAGCUGCAGCAUCGCAGCUCGUCGGCGUUGCAAAGGAUAAGGAGUGCGGCUCGGUCCGUUCGGUGUCAGAGCCGCUCAGCCCUUUUUCUGGCGCUCCGGGGGCGGUACGGGCUCACACGUGUAACCUCGAAUGGUACGAUUCCUUCCCGGCAGCAGGAUCACUCAUCCUUACGGCUUUCGGUCCCUAUAAGCUAUGCUGA
This 1038-nucleotide long non-coding RNA is filed under the name Phasianus colchicus (ring-necked pheasant). RNAcentral's name for it is "lncRNA (ENSPCLG00000009007.1)". Lineage: Eukaryota; Metazoa; Chordata; Aves; Galliformes; Phasianidae. The record is from RNAcentral.